RNAcentral lists this ribosomal RNA (253 nucleotides) under uncultured bacterium. RNAcentral describes it as "partial 16S ribosomal RNA". It matches the Rfam family "Bacterial small subunit ribosomal RNA", at positions 524 to 776 of the family's 1533-position model. The record is from RNAcentral.
UACGUAGGGCGCAAGCGUUAUCCGGAAUUAUUGGGCGUAAAGAGCUCGUAGGCGGUUUGUCGCGUCUGCCGUGAAAGUCCGGGGCUCAACUCCGGAUCUGCGGUGGGUACGAGCAGACUAGAGUGAUGUAGGGGAGACUGGAAUUCCUGGUGUAGCGGUGAAAUGCGCAGAUAUCAGGAGGAACACCGGUGGCGAAGGCGGUUCUCUGGGCCUGUACUGACGCUGAGGAGCGAAAGCGUGGGGAGCGAACAGG